RNAcentral lists this ribosomal RNA (232 nucleotides) under uncultured bacterium. Its description in RNAcentral is "partial 16S ribosomal RNA". It matches the Rfam family "Bacterial small subunit ribosomal RNA", at positions 99 to 334 of the family's 1533-position model. The record is from RNAcentral.
CGGACGGGUGAGUAAUGUCUGGGAAACUGCCUGAUGGAGGGGGGUAACUACUGGAAACGGUAGCUAAUACCGCAUAACGUCGCAAGACCAAAGAGGGGGACCUUCGGGCCUCUUGCCAUCGGAUGUGCCCAGAUGGGAUUAGCUAGUAGGUGGGGUAACGGCUCACCUAGGCGACGAUCCCUAGCUGGUCUGAGAGGACGGCCAGCCACACUGGAACUGAGACACGGUCCAG